This 4988-nucleotide long non-coding RNA is filed under the name Marmota monax (woodchuck). Lineage: Eukaryota; Metazoa; Chordata; Mammalia; Rodentia; Sciuridae. The record is from RNAcentral.
GGAACUGCGGGGCUUGAGGGAUGAGUGCAUUGCUGAAGGUGACGAAGAGGUCGUAGGACCAAUUUCCUUCAGAGCAAAUUGCUACAUAGCUUUAUCAAAGGUCUUUAUUCUUGUGCCAGCCCUUGGCCAUAAAGACAGUAUAGAAGAUUAACCACAAGUCCCCGACCCUAGGGCACAUUGUUUAGCUUCUAUAAGUUGUAAGUAACAGAGACUCUCAGUUUAAAGGGAUUUCAGAGAAAUCCAGGGACAAAAACUGAAUUACAGUUGGGUGUUGAUGGAAGCUGGAGAAUCAAGACUACUCUUGCCUUCCUCCUCCUCCUCCUCCUCCUUCCCUCCUUCCUUCCUCCUCCUCUCCCUCCUCCCCCUCCCUCUUCCUCCUCCUCUCUCUGGCCACACAGUGGAAAAUCCUUUUGCGUGCUCCUCCCCCUUCUUUUCUAUUUUGCUGGGCUCCCUGGUGACCUCUUGCCGGUGGCCCACACGGUUUCCCCACACUCUCCACAGUGGCACCUGUUGCUGGGCCUACUUGGCUUCUGCUCCUACUGCAGAGUGGAAACCCUCCAGAGUCUCAUGGUUCCCAUUCCCAGGGAAGAAGCUCGUUGGUUCCAUUCACACCUUCCGCUCAGGUCUCAGGUCUCUGAGUGCUGACCAGGUCCUGGGUUGGUAGCUUUUGCUUCAGGACGGCUCUGGGACUGACCGGAAGCCAUGGAAGAGCAGCAGAUGAGAGCGGCAUGACUAUCUGGAAGGCGUUUUUGCCUUUCAUUUGGGGCAAAAGUCCCGUAUAUUCCUGUUGCCUUUUAGCUCUUGUUCCCUUCUUUCCAACAUAUUCUCUGUUUCCAAAAUAAUUUUCAGUAAUUGGGUCCCAGUUGAUUCAGAUUUUAUGAUAUAGGUUCCAGGAAGCACGGGACCUUGAAUCUUGCCUUCUGAUUCCCCAUUUCUGGUAUCAGUGCCAUAGUUCCAUAUAUCAUUAUUUCACAUGUUUUUGAAGAAGGUAGUAGCAAACCGUGUCACAGUAUUUCAAAAAGCUUCUAUUAACAGAAGCCACUGGGUCCCAAGAUUAUUGCUGGAAUAUGUGCAAUUUAAUUUAAAACAUGUUCAAAGUAGAAAGUCUCUGAGUAGUGAAGGAAAGGAAGGGCUGGUCUUCCCUCCUGGGCCUCCGGCUUGCUGCCUUCCCACCGUCCUAGGUUCUGCUCUCCCGGCUGUGGGGCUUAGCAGGGAGGCCUUCUCUUGCUUUACUUGAAUAUCUGCUUACAACUAUUUUUCAUUUAAAAAAAGGACAGCUGUUGUUCAGUGGACACAUGCACGGCUCAGUUCUGCGUACACGGCUGUGGGGUAGACAGCUCUGUUUAGGGCAGGAGCCCCAGGGGAGCUGGGACCGAACUCUGAUUUAUGCUGACUGCGGUUGUGGGAGAGUGGAGAGCCACGUGUCGACACCCCAUCACGUUGGGUCGGGUGGCUGAAACCUCCCUAGGACUCACGGCCCAACUCCUGGAUUUAUCUGCCUCUUGAAGAGAAAGUGCUCGUCACUACUGGAAGGUUUUCUGUUUGGGGUAUGGGCUUCUCUGUUUCCCAAUCUUACUUUUCUUAAUUCUGUCCACACUCUAGAAGCCUCCACUCUGUUAGCAAGACACCAGGUUCUUCUGAUGCAAACCUGACUUAGACCUUGGGCUCCGUGGGCUUCUUCAGGCCCUAAGUCUGUGAUCGGGUAGAUUGCCUUGUGUGCAAGUAGUCAGACGGGGCUGACAAUCUCUCACUCUGAGGCAGCAUUAGGCCCUCUUGCUUCGCCAUGCCACCUACCCCUGGCAGGGAUAAAAAUUAAUUGUUGCAAAAACAAGACAGAGAGUUCCUGUAUACAUUCACCUGCUUACCCCAGAGUCGACAUCUUAAAUAACCACAGCAACAGUGUGGAAAACAGGAAAUUAACCCUGAUACAAUACUGAUUUCUCAUCUACAGAUCUUUCCAAUGUUCACCAGACUUCCCACUGAUGUCUUUUUUUGUUUUCCUGGUAUAGACUCUAAUAAUACAGGAUAUUAUUUGCAUUUACUUGCCUGGUCUCCUUAGUCUUGUCCAAUCUGUGACAUAAUCAGUCUUUUUCAUCUUUCAUAGACUUGACACUUUUGAAGAGAACUGGUCAGUUAUUUAUAGAUGUCCCUUAGUUGGGAAUGGUCUUAUGUUUUUUCAUUAUUACUUUGAGGUUGUACCUUGCAGCAAAGAAUACCACUGAGUGACAUUGUGUCCCCCCUUUGCAUGUCAUACCUGAGGGCCUGUGAUAUCAAUGUGACCUUCUACUUUAACUCUCAAUGAAGGGGACAUCUCCCAGGCUCCUCCACCUCCACGUCACCAUCCUCCCUCUAUAGUCAGUGAGCAUCCUGUGGGAAGGUGCCUAGACCCCAUGCAAACCUCCUGUUUCUUGUCAUAUUUUUACCCACUAUUUUUAGCAGUUCUUAAAAAUUCUUGCCUGUAAAAGUUAUUAUUCCUAUAUUUGCCUAGCAGAGAUUUUUUCUACUUCUCCUCUAUUGGAAGAAAGAGCUGUCCCUUCUCUCCUAUUGACUUAGCUGUUUGUUUAUAUUAGGAAAACUUGUGGGUCAUAAGUUUGAUACUAUCGUUAUACAUUUUGUGGCUCAAGUGCAACAAGCAUUGGUCAAGAACUUGUCACGUUGCUUCUCUGUCCUUCUAACGUACUCCCAUGUUUUUCAUUGUCGAGCUCAUGGCUUGGCAGCGUGGUUGUCCGAGAUGAUGUUUCCGUUUUCCUAGACGGAGCCCUGGACUCCCAUUUCUCUAGGGUUAACCCAUUCCUUAUAUUGGAGAAUAGUCUUAGAACCAAGACCAGGCACCAGGGAUGCUCUGCUUGGGUGUCACUGUCCCAGUCCUAUGCAAUCAGCAGGACAUGCAGCGCCCUUAUUUCUUUUUACAUUGAUCCCUUGGACCCAGGUGGGAAACCAUACAGUCAGGCUGUGAUUCAGCCCACACCAGUGCCCAUUUACGGCCUUCCUCCUCUCCUCAUUUAACAACUCCUGCUGACCAUGAAAAAUGUAGCUUUUAUUAUCCACAUUAUAAUAUUUUUUUCUAGAAUUUUUUAAAGUUAAAAGAAUUAUUUUAAUUUACACAUGAUUAUGGGGUACAGUGUUACAAUUUCACACAUACAUGUGAUUGUAAGGAUCUAAUCAGGGUAAUUACAUGUCCAUCUCCCUAAACACUUGUUCUUUCUUUGUGUUGGGAGUCUUGGAACUCUUCUCUUACAAUUCUUAGUAAGUUAUAUUAAAAAUUGUUGCCAUUUGUAAACUAUAGAUACCUUACUGUGCUGUAGAAUACUAGAACUCAUUCCUCUUUUCUAACCUGUUACCCAUAUUGACUUAAUUUUUUUGAUCCUAGUAAACACAUAAAAUAGUUCCAGAAUGAUCAAAUCGUAUUAAUCUCCCACCAAAGUGGAGAAUUUGUGAGAAUUUUUUUCCUUCUUCAGCCUCUUAUAUCUGGUUAAAUACCAUUUCCUCAGGAUACCUGGACUAGUUUUUCACCUUCCCUUCAGUCUGGUUAUGUUAAUCAUUUGUAAUACAGUAAAGCUCAUUUAUUGCUGUUUGCAUUCUAUCCUUGUUGAUUUUGAAUUGUUUGGGUUUUUUGUUUAUCGUGAAAUAUUUUAAUUUCAUUGUCAAAUCUGAAGUUUAAUUUUGCUGGAUACAGUAUUCUUGGUUGGAAUCCAUUAUUGUUUGGGUUUUUUGAUAUAAGAAACAUUACUGUGGCUGUGAGAAUCAUAACAUGUCAAAAGAUAGUCUCAAAGAAAUACUGCUUCCCACUGUUUCUGUGUCUCUUCCCCACUCCCUCCACCCUGUCCUCGCCCACUCCUCCUAGGCCACAAUCUCAGUUUCUGGUUUACCCUUCUCGUAUUUCUUUUGUAUUUGCACAAAUGAGCAGAUACAUUUUUAACAUAUCUUCUUUUUUACACGGAGGGUAGCACUAUAGACAUUCUUAUUUACUUGGGUUUUUUUUUUUUUUUAACACUAUGUCCUAAAAGUGACAGAAAUAGUCCAUAUUAGGCUGCAUGGUGCUCCAUUGUAUGAAUGGACCAGUUUAUUCAAUUACUCUACAGGGCUUGAAAAAUUUGGUUGUUUCCAUUUCAUUGCAACUACAAUCAGUGCUGCAACGACUAAGGCAUUGUAUGAGAAUUAAUUUGUCAAGUUUUGUUAUGUACAUAUAUGAAUCUACCACAGUGAAUUUCACAUUUGUGUAUAUCUAUAAAGGAUUAAUUUAAAAAAACGCUAAAGAUAAAUAGAAGAAAUGCCAGUAGCAUAGAAAAAGGAAACAGGGAAAGGGAGGAGGGAGGGAAGGCAGAAAUACUGGGCACUGAACUGGAGCAAAUUUUCUUGCAUACUUGCAUAUGUAUGUCAAAAUGAACCUCCGUAUUAUGUAAGACUAUAAUGAACAAAUUAAAAAAAAUUUUUAAAACCCUGUUGAUUGAAAUUCCAUUAAAUUUACAGAUUGAGUGUAACUGAGGUCUUUGUGAUUUUGCAUUUUCCAACCCAAGAAUACAUAUGUAUCUCCAUUUGGUUAGCUUUUAUUUUAGACUAUCAAUAAAUAUGUCUUUAUAAUUUUUCCUUAAGCAGUCUUGAACAUAUAUUGCCAGUUUUAUUUCAAGAUCCUGAUUAGUAUUUGUUUUCUGUUGUUGUUGCUCUUGUAAAAGGAAUCCAUCUUAAAAUUACAGUUCUCCUUCUCUCUAUUUACAUGCACAAGCUGAUAUUGUAAACCAUUGCUUUAACGCCUUUGUUUCACCAGUAUGUCCUCUGUUUCUUCCUACUAAUCCUUUACUCCUUCUUUACCCCUUCCAUGGUGUUGUUUAUUUCCUCCUUAACAAAAUUAGCUAGAAGUGAGAAUAAAGGAUAUUCUUAUUUUUGAUCAGAACUUAAACAGUAGUGUUUGUGAUAUUCAUCAUGAGGCAUAAUAUUUGCUGUACAUUUUGAGUAGAUGCUCUUUAUCAGGUUAAGGAAUUGCCCUCCUG